AACUUUUUUUCAUAAAAACCAUUAUAUUAAAUUAAUCCUCACCAAUAAUGAUUCAAACAAAAGUAUAGUCUAUGUCAAAGAAAAUAAUUGCUUUCGUAGCAUUUUAUGUAGGAAAUUGGUGGAUCUUGGUUCAAAAACUAAUCCCAAGUUUAAUUGGUCUUUUUGACUAGAGUAAGCAGCUUCUCUCUCUCUUAACUCUCUCGAAACUUUCAGAGAGAGAAAAAGCCAAUCUCUUCUUUUGUCUUCCGAUCUUAUGUUGUUUUUCAUCUCCGGCUUAGCCAGUGUUAUGGUCGGAUUGAAGUUUUCCAGACUUAUCUUUGUAUAGGAUCUGGAUUUUGUUUGUUCUCUCUUUCUAGAUGAUUUCAAAUUCAAACCCCGUUUGCUAUUUGAAAGAUUAUGUUUGCUUCACUGUCAGCUUGGCUCUUCUCUUCUGAAGAAGUAAUAUCUUCGUCAACUUAUUUCACCUUCUGGUAUGAAGUGGACCUUUGGAGGUCUUGAGGCGGAGUUUUCUUUGAGGAGUUUUGGAGUUGAAAUCUAAGGAUUCAUUUGAGUCUAUGGCUGGAAAUUUCAAGACGGUAGCAGCAAAAUCUUGCAGAUCGGCAGCGGUGGAGCCUGUAGAAGGAGUCAGCGAUGAUGGAUCUGAAGUCCGGCGACGGCGCUGUGCUAGAUCGUGGAUGUGGCUGGUGACGAUCGUGGCAAAUCUCCUCCUCUCGUUUGGACACGUAUCCACACGUGGCACUUUCACUCUUAUCCUUAUCAUUAAAAUUGGAUUAGGAUAAGUGGGCUUAAUUUCAAAUGAAGUUGUAAAUGUAGGAGGAAUUGAGCUUCUGUUUCAUCUCAUGUAAUACCCAUUUGGAUUUUCAUAUAAAUAAAUAUGAAAUGGCCGACAAAAAAAAAAAAAACUAAUCCCAAGUCUAAUUUUAUAAUCUCAAAAUCACAGCAAACAUCAUGACUCCACACUAAUAAACAAAAGCACCACUUCGCCAAACUCACAAUCCAUAAGACGUUACCUUAUUACGAUAUUGGUUUAGAAUUAAAUAAACUUAAGUCUCUUGGUUUAGUUGAUUUACUCUCAUUCCAAUAAUCAAUAAAAAGCAAAGGCUUGAGAAACGGCAAGAAUUUCGUCUAAAAUGGCGUGAGUUGCGAAAGCUUUUUUAGAAAAAACAAAAUUUGUUUUUUUCUAGUUUCUUCUCAAUAUCACCGAUUGAAAAAUUUCUUUCCUGAGAUCCAAUUUUUUGCCCACUCUUUGCUGAAAAUGUCUACAAUUUAUCGAUUUUAAUUUGGAUGUACAAAAUUUUGAUUUUGGAGAUCUUUACCUUUGUUGGACGAGAAAUUUGCGAAGAUUUAGAGUACUUCGGACCCUAGUAUGCAUAUUUAGCGGUGAAAACAAAACUUGUAGUCAUCAAUUCUACAACAAUUUCAUGAGAGUAGUAGUAUAUUAAUCUAAAGAGAAACUGUUAUAAUUUAGCUAGAAGCCUAGAACAUGUCUUUAGAUAACUACCUUAGCUUUACAUGACUUCUGUGGCUAUAAUUUCAUCAAAAAAAACUUGUAAUCAUAGCUCCAACAUGAAGUUGAAGAUUUUUGCUUUCCUCGUUAUCCAAAAUUUCAAAGACCAUUUGCUCAUCUUGAAGAUCAAAAAUUAGUUUAGAUUCUGCUCAACUCUUUAUCUGAGUCCCAUAUUAUACUAUCUAACCAUACCUCAUCCCCCAAAUCCCUCUAGCGCAAUUCCAGUCUGCUAAAGCGCCCAAGGGCGUCGUUUUCAAGUCGCUUUAUCUUCUUUACUCCAGCAGCUUCAUCAUUUACACUAAAAUGAUUCUCACAAAAGACUCCAACAGAUUGGCAAAGAAAGGCACACACAUAUUAUUGUCAGCUUGAACUUGGUCUCUAGAGUUCAUCAUAUUCAAGUUUUCUUCUUCAGACUCUGCAUUUGUUCCUUAAACCAGUAUACCUUCCGGCUCAAAUCCGGGUUCGAAGACCCCACCAGAAUUACCACUAAUUUGUAUAUAUAUGUAGUUGGACCUUCCCUGGACCAAAAUUCUGAGAGAGAAAUCUUGCGAAAGGCAAACCUGUUUUCCAAAAACGACUAUCUUGUCAAUACGCCUUAGAGAGAGCUUCCCUUUAGGUGACCGAACCAACAAGUAAUCUGUUGACUGCAAUCACUGUGGAAAAAUAGGUGCUUUAUACAUGUUUGUUUCAACAAAUGACUGACUGCAACCAACAUGUAUCUCCCCAAGGAAAGGACACUUGUCCCCAGGUUCUAGAAUCAUCACAUUCCCUAAGGUGUCACUUUGAUUGUGCAGCCAGUUGCCACGUUGAUCCUCUGGGGAUGACUUCUGAUAAUAUGUGCACAAAUUUGCACCAAUUCCUGCAUUGUUGAGCAUCAGCAGCCUCUCCUCGUAGUACCUACAAAAAUCAAUGCAGAAAAAUAUUGACGUCCAAUCAAUGUCUUUUCCUACUGAUAGAUAUAGAUCAAAAUAACCGCAAGAGCCACAAAGUAGCAUCCAUUAAAAAACUAAACUAAACAAAAGUCUCAAAUAGAAGUUCAUCUUACUCCAUCAAGAAAACAUGGCCAUCUUUAGUAGAUAAGUCAGAUUUCUUCUUCAAUGCCCCAUGAGGUCUCAAAGAUUUAUUUUCGCCAGGUAGCCUCUGUGCCCAUGGCCACAUAUGUACUUUACUACGUAUAAGAUGAACCAAGGAAUUUGGUUGAACAUUUUGUGCAGCAAGAGACUUUUCAUCCUCAAGUUCCUUUCCCAUAUAGAACAUCUUCACUAUAAUUUUCUCUAUACCAACGUGUAGCUUGCUUCCUUUACCCCCAGGCUCUUAACUAUAAUUGAGAUUAAAUAACCUAAUCCUAAAUUUGAUUUUGACCUAAUUAGUGAUAGUUAAGUAGUAAAAAUUAUUAUUUUGAUACUUUUUUACAUUUUAAUUUUUGAUAGUUUUUUUACCCAAUUUUUACUAACCAGAAAACUAUUAUAUCUUGAUUUUAAUUUUUUACAGACAAUAUAAUUUUUUUUUUUUUUUUGUCGUCUAGAUUUAUUAUUAAUUGCAAAUUAUGAGAACUAUUACAUAGACGAUUCUACAACUGACAAUUCCUUCCAACCCUUACUAGAUUCACGACAGACUACACUUCCUUUUUCGUAAUCUUGAUGAAUACCUUCAAUGAUCCACGACCUGGCAACACUUCCUUCUCUGCGUAGAAUCCUGGCGAACGGCUAUAAUUGUACAUCGCUGGAGAUCUCUUGCACACUUGCCUCCAUUAAUCUGCAAAUUUGUUAAUAAAUCGCAAUACCUGGGACUCGAACCCCAUACAUUUUGGUGUAGAAGCAUUAAUCAACCCUUAGUCAACCAAUGGGCCAAAGGGGCUUCCACAGACAAUAUAAUUAUUUACGAAUAAUUUUUUUUUGUUUUUUUUUUUGUAGCUUAUUCAAUUGCUACAUGAGCCACCUAAAUUGGGCCUAAAGAUAAUGAUGGUCCACAAAAAUUGGGCCUAAAGAUAAUGAUGGUCCACAAAAAUUGGGCCUAAACCCAAAAUGACCUGAAUAUCAAAACUUCGACAGUCACUGUAACAACAUUUUAGAUCUUUCCCGAAGAAGACGAACAAGAAGAAGAGAGAAAUGAGGCCGAUGCAGCUGGAUAUGUUGUCGGAGAUGGAUGAUGCAGGCUCUUCAAUGGCCAUGGACGUUGAUGACCUCGAAGCCAUGGAGAUUCUCAACGAAGGAGGACUUGUUUCAGAUAACAAGCUCGCCGACGCCGAUUUCUUCAACAAAUUCGAGGAUGAUUUCGAUGACACCGAUAUCAACUAAAUCCGGUUAAUUUCCUCUUUAAGAUUUCAGUUUUUGUCCUAAUCUUUAUUUAAUUUGUGGAGAAACCUAUGUAAUGUGUGUAAGUCCUGGGAUUUUAAUGUUUGUGUUAUGUAACAACUGAUAACAAGUUUCGUUUCGAUUUCAUGUUUUUGGAUCACUAAAACAUUUGAUUUGAGUGUUAUUUUGCUUUGGUAUUGAUUUGAUUUGUUUUUGCACAAAUUUAGAAUGUUUUUGCCUUGUUCUCGAAUUGAAGAUGUUUUUGGAGAUUGAAACCUAAUUUCUUUAUAAUUUAGAGUCUUUUUGGUGAUUUUUUUCAAUGUAUGUGAAUGUUAUUGAUAUUGGCUUAAGAUGGAAACUAAUUGAUUCUCCAUGGCGAUUGCUUGUAAUUUCACCAUUUGCAUUCUUUGAAACAUGUGUUGAUGUGUUGCAUUGUGUUGAUAUUCAUGUGGCUCACCGGGUCUAGAGAAACUUCCCGAGGAACUAAGCGAGGAGUCGUUUCGAGUAAACUCCUAUGUGAGAGAUGAAAUCCUCAUGUAAGCUGUAACUUUCCACAAGUAGUGAGUAAGUGAACUAGGGACCUCAUAAGGAAGAACAUAUUUCUACCUUAAUGAUAUAUAGUCUCUUGCAUCUCCCGUUUAACUCGAAACAUCGGUCAUUGAUUUAUACAGAUAUGGUAUCUUGUUCCAUGUUGAAUGCUUGUAAUGUCACCAUCUCUCACCAUCUCGUGGUUUUUGAGUCCUGUGUUGCAUUGUGUUGGAUCAUAUGGUAUGUUAGGAGGGGGUGUAUGAUUCCCUUGGCCAAGCUCUGUUGUUGCAUUGUCAUAUUAUGUUCUCUGGGCCGGUUACGGUGCUUUGUAGAUGGAAAUAGUGUGAUUGAUGUUCACCUAUGGUAGAAAGGAGAAGGCAGCUAAGCAUAAAGAUGUCACUUGUCAGUUCCGAGCAGUCUUUGUUGCUUACCUUAUGGUCUUAUGUAUGUAGUGUAGCCAACUUCAUGAGAUUUCAACAUUCGUUAGCAUUUUAUAAGAUGUAGAUAAAUGUCGGAUCACUCAAAUUUUGUGUAUCUUCUUAUCAGAAAGGGACACAAAUUAGCGUGACCUCUCUUCAGAAUCAUUUAUCGUAAAAAGACACGGAAGAUUAACAAUUGAUAUAUCUUAGCCGUCAGAUUGCUCAACCAUAUAAAUAAAGACUGAAGAAAUACACCAUACCUUCUUUAACUAACCAAAUCAAAAUCUUUCAUUGAAUAAAAAUAAAAUUAAUGCAUUUAAUUGUAAAAUCAAAUCGCUAACCAUUCUUUUAUAACACCGACAUAUUUAUUAUAAAAUUUAAUUUCUAACCAUUUUGUUUAUUAAACCUAAACCGACAUAUAAUUUUGUUUAAUUGUAAAAUCUAAACUCUAAUCAUAUUUUAUAAACUCAAAUGGAAAUUUAGCUUCGUGUAAUUGUAAAAUAUAAACUCUAACCGCCUCUUAUAAAUCCAAACUGACAUAUAACCUCGUUUAAUUUUAAAAUCUAAACCCGAACUCUUCUUUAUAAAUCCAAAUCGACAUUUAACCUCGUUUAAUUGUAAAAUGUAAACCUUAACUUCCUUAUAAACUCAAACCGAUAUAUCACUUCGUUUAUUAUUGUAACAUUAAAUCCUAAUAUUUCUCUUAUAAACCCAAACCGACAUAGAAAUUCUAACACCAAUGAUAUAUUGUUAUAUGAUGUAUUUUAGUGAAUUAUGUUAACUUCUUAUAUGGAUAAGAUAAAAUUUUUUUUAUUGUUUAUUUUUAUUAGGUGUCAGAUUCUGAUUGGUUAGAAAAAUUGAGGUUAUUAAAAGGGUUCAACCAAUCAUUUUUCAUUUUUUUAAAUUAUAAUUAGGAAAUUAUUCCGAUUUUAUAACCGAAUUAAUUAUUCUUGGGUUAUGUGCAUUCACAUGUGUUUUAAUAGGCUUAAAACAUAGUACUAUUUCGACUAGCUAAGUGACAAUCUAUACUAUAUAAAAGUCGAGGCUAUAAGCCUAUGAGGCCGUCCACCUAGGAUUUUAAACGACCAAUCAGGAUUAGACACUUCGUCAGUUAACAUUUUUAUACACCACUUUAAUUAAUAUUUUUUAAAUUCUAAUAUUUUCUAUACUUAAAUAUUAAUAAAAAGGGGAAAAAACAGUAAAUGGAAAGGAGAAAAAUGUGAAUUUUUGAAAUAACAAAAUAUAGAAAUAAGAAAAAUGUAAAAAUAGAUUUUAAUAUUAUUAUGCAGCGAAUAUAUUUUUAAUUGAAACUUUUCUAAUUAAAAAAUGUAAAAUUACUGAAGGUAAUUAUAACGAUUUGUCCUACACAUUAAACUAUAAAUACUGAACUUCGACCACACAAUUAGUAUUCAGUUACAAACGAAUUUACUAUUAUGCGGCUUUGAUUUUUUUUUCUCGUGCUACAUAUUUUUGAUUUAUUUCUCUAUGAACUAUAAAAAUAUUGUUUAAUUUUGCUGAUUUUAAACUGUUUGAUUUGUAUUUAAGGUUACAUUAAUGAAUCGAGUCUAGGUUCAUUCAAUUGUGACUUUUAAAGCAAUUACAAGGUAUUAUUGAUCUUAUACUAUAUAAAAGGCUAUAAGCUCAUGAGGCCGUCCACAUGAGAUUUUAAACGACCAAUCGGGAUUAGACAUUUCGUCGGUUAACAUUUUUACACACCACCUUAAUUAACAUUUUUAAAUUUUAAUAUUUUCUAUACUUAAAUAUUACUAAAAAGGAAAAAAAAACUAUAUAUGGAAAGAAGAAAAAUCUGAAUUUUUGAAAUAACAAAAUAUAGAAAUAAGAAAAAUGUAAAGUAUAGAUUUUAAUAUUAUUACGCAGCGAAUAUAUUUUUUUUUGGAAAUUUUCUAAUUAAAAAUGUAAAAUUACAGUAGGUAAUUAUGACGGUUUACCCUAGACAUUAAACUAUAAAUACUGAACUUCGACCAUACAAUUAGUAUUCAGUUUCAAACAAAUUUACUAUUAUGCGGCUUUGAUUUUUUUUUUCUCGUGCUACAUAUUUUUUGAUUUAAUUCUCUAUGAACUAUAAACAAAUAUUGUUUAAUUUUGCUGAUUUUAGACUGUUUGAUUUGUAUUUCAGGUUACACUAAUGAAUGAGUAUAUGUUCAUUCAAUUGUGACUUUUGAAGCACUUACAAAGUAUUAUUGAUCCUAAAAUUUAUGUAGCUUUUAAAUUGUUUCCUUGUGUGGAUAUUGUUAACUUCUUUAUGUUAAAUAUAUGCAUGAAAAUAUGUGAAAAUAGAUUUAAUACUCAAUAGAAUCCCUGAUAAUAGGAUUUCUCUCCCAGGCGAUAUUCCCGAGACACUACAAAAUCCACCGUCUUCCGGCGCCGGUGUAGCUGUGGCUCGCCGGCGUCGGACGUUGUCUUCUCUUUGCUGUUCCGCUCCUCUCCCGAAGAAUCCAAACGAGUUUCGUCUCUUGUUUUUCAAGCUCUUCAAGUUUUUAGCCCGUCCUCUCUGCCUCAUUCCAUCUUCCAUCAUGUCGUUGCGUCUCGUCGAGUGCAGAUCUGGUAGCAUCUCUCUGCAGAUCUUUGGCUCAACGGUUCGACGUGCUCCGCCUCCCACCAAAAGAUCCAGCAGCUACUUCGCUGUCAGCUCUUUUCUCGUCUUUUUCCCCAGCCGCGUGAAUCGGCUCUCCCGUGUGAAGCCGAUGGUUGUUGUCUCCUCAACUUCCCUUUCCGGUGCUCUUCGCCCUCUCUUGAUCUCCGUGGUCGGUGACCCUCUCGCCUCCGUCAACCGCCGCCGCCGCAUGUCAUCCUCCUCGCUUGGGUUAGGUCAAAGCCCCACUUUACAAUUUCAGUGGAAGGGUUUCAAUUGGGCUUGGCCCAUCUUUGGGCUUUCUGGAGGUUGUUGUGGCCCAUUGCUUUUUGGGCUGCAAGCUUGUUUUGUUAUGCAAACAAGUUUUUUGGCCUGCCCUAAUGUCGUGCACUUUUCACCAUCUGCGCCCACCACCGACUUCGUCUUCCCCCGGUCACCUUUGGCCACGCCUUCACCAUCUCCGACUUCUUCACCCACCGGUUCACCGGAUACUUCUUCGGGUUCCGUCUACCUACACUGGAUACUUCUCCGGUAGACCUAGGUUGCUUCUGGUUUAGAACCACUUUUGUUGGUUCGGAUUCCGCCCAAAUUCGGCGAAGAUUGAUUACCGGAUACUGCUCCGGCGUUCCCCUGCCUGUGUCUUUGGCAGAUCCAGGUUGUUCUCAACCUAGAACCACGUUUGUUGGUUUGCAUCUCAACGACUAUUCAGUUUGGUGCUUUGUCACCUCUUUCUUGACAGCCAAUUUUAGGAUUGAUUUGGUUGCCCUAGUGGCAGAUUCAAUCUCGCACAACAUAGCCCUUUGUGUGUUUUGUGUUGUCCAAGGGGUCAUCUCUCUUCUUCGCUCUAGUGUUAUCAAGGUUCAAGGACGCCAUGAUGACGAUUAUUGCUUAGGGGAUAUGAUUGCUUUGAUCUAUCCUUCUAUCUACUUUUCUUUUAUGUAUUGGUUUGCUUUUGGUUCAGGGAGUUUGAUUGCGUUGGCUCCUCCCUUUGUAACUCUUCCCUCCUUUGAGGAUGAUUAGCUAUGAUAUAAAAUUUUGGUGCACAAAAAAAAUAUAUGCAUGAAAAGUGGUUCGCAUGUGGAAAACAAAGAAAUCAAAUAAAAAAAAAAGUGAAAAUAAUUAUAUAUUGAAGAAGAAGUACAAGAAAAACAAAAAAGGAAAAGAAAAAGAAAAAAAAGUUAAUUAUAUAUAGGGUUCUAUAUAUUAUUAUCGUUUAAUUAAUUUGAGUUCUCUGUUUUUGAAUUAUCUUUUUAACCAUGCAAAGUUUUUUUCAGAAACCAUAGUUUGGCGUGUUUGUUUGCCAAAUCUAACCGAUUAUGAUAACAAUUAUAUUAAAGCUGGCAGGUGACUAUUUUUUUUUUUUGUAAUUGUCCGUAUUAUUUUGUAAGUAUUAUGAAGAUUCUAUUGUUAUUCAAUUUAAGAUUUUUCAAAACUCUAUCAAAGUUUGAUGUUAUUUGUUUAUGUGUUUGUAAAUAGUAAUCUAAAAUCUUCAUAAAUUUAGAGUUAUUGGAGACCAUGAUUUUAUAAAUUUGAAAUUCUAAAAGCUAUAAAAAUUUCAUACCUUAAGUCGAAACUUCUAGCUUCUAUACUACAUAAAAGUCGAAGUUAUAAACUUCUUAAACUAUCCAAAAACUUUUAACACACAAAUCAUGAUUAGCCAUCUCAGUAAUUAGCAAUUUUAGAUUCCAAUAAUUUUCUAUGUUAAGAUACUUAUAAAAAGGAAAAAACAAUAAAUAAUAUAUGAAUAUAUAUAUGGAAUCAAGAAAAAUGUAAACUUAAAAAUAAACAUAUGGGAAAACAAAAAAUGUAAAAGUUUGUUAUUAGAAUAUAUAAAAUAAUAUCAAUGGAAAAUUAAGAUACUUAUAAAAAAAAAUUUUAAAAAAUAAUAGCUAUGGAAACAAGAAAAAUGUAAACUUAAAAAAACAUAUGCAAAAAAGAAAAAUGUAAAACUUUUGUUAUUAGAAUAUUUAAAACAAUAUCAUUAUUAGUCUCACCAUAUUGGCCAAUAUCCCUUCUUAAUCACAAUUAGGGGUUGACAUUUUAUUUUGAUGCCGAGUUAAAUUUGAUUCGGUUAUUUCGAUUUAAUAAAACAUCAAGUCUCUAAUCAAACUCAUUUUGGUUCAUUUUAAUUCGGUUUGGAUUAAUUUUGUUUGGCUUGAUUUGGUUUGUUAUUUGAAAUAAAUUAUUUGUAAAUUUGAAAAAUGUCAAUAAAUUGAAGCAAGAAAAAUACAAAUUUUAUAAUUGGGAUAAAUCAAUAAAUUUUUUGAAAAGAAUAAUCCAUCAAGAAUUAUGUGAAAAAUAAAUAAAUAAAUAAAAGGUAUACAAUAUAUACAUGUAACAUGUGUAAGUUUAUUAGUUUGUUUCUUUUCAUCUAAAUGUUGAUUGGUAAUUUUUAAUGUUUCAAGUUUGAUGUUUGGAUAUUAGAUCAUUAUAAUUACUAAAAUUUUGAAGUCUUUAUAUAUAUAUAUAUAUAUAUAUAUAUAUAUAUAUAUAUAUAUUUGAGUAAAAUAUGAUACAUAAUAUUUGUAAUAUGUUUUAUACCAACUUUUAUCCUAUAUACUUUUCUUUUCUUAAAACAAAUUUAACCAACAUAAAUUAUACUAAAAAUAUAAAUAAAACAACAUUUAUGCUAAAACUAAUUUAAAAAAUGAAACACAAUUGUAAUUAAUGGAUUACUAAGCCAAAAACUAUAUUAAAAAAAUCAAUAAAAUUAAACCCCCGCGUAGCGGGGGUUAUAACCUAGUUAUUUAAAGAAUUUUGUGUUUGAGGAAAAUUAAUCAUUGACUUACACCUAGAGAGUAAAUUUUCAAGUGAAAACCACUAGACCAAAAUUCACUUGGUUAAAUAUAGAGAUAAAUUUAUUUUUUCAGAGAACAGAAACUACUCGAAAUUUUUAAUCAUGAGCGAUAACUUUAUAUUUCGACAAUUUGAACCAAAGACUCCCAAAAUCCAAUCUUCUAAGUGAUAUAUAGCUGAGACAACUCAAAAAGGAAAACGAGACUAAGAAAUGAAAGAUGUAGAAGCUAGUCGUUUAUUAUUGUGAGAGAUGCCUUACAAUUUCUUUUGAUUUUUCUCUGUAAGCCCUAGUCGUCUCUAAUGUCUUUCGUCCCAAAUUUCAGGUAACUAUUUAUCUCUAUCACUCGUGAUUCAUGUUGAUUCGUCUAUGGAUUCCAAUUCUGAUAUUGCUCGCGAUUAAUGAUGCAGUAAAUCCCUAGUCUUCUUCAACUUUCUCUAAUGUCGUUCAUUCCAAACUUUCAGGUAACGGAUCAUCUCUCUCUCUCAUGAUUCAUGUUGAUUCUUCAAUUGUUGACGACCCUGAUAUUGCUAGCGAUUAAUGCUUUUCUUUCUCGUUUCGGAUUUGAUCAAUCUUUGUAUCUUCAAUCUCUUGCUCAUUUAUCUAAUUAAAGUCUCGAUUAAAGCUUCCUCUUCUUUUUCGUUUGCGGAUUUGAUCGAUUUUUGCAUCUUUAGUCUCUUGCUCAUUUAUCUAAUUGAAGGUUUGAUUCAUCAAAACAUGAUUGAUGAAUAUCGCGAUUAAUGCUUCAUCUUCUUUCUCGUUUGCGGAUUUGAUCGAUAUUUGUAUUUUUAAUCUCAUGCUCGAUUAUCAUCUCGAGGAAGAUGUAUUGGGGAUAAUAAUCACACAUUGGAAUGAACAAGAAAUAUUGACUAGUAUAUACUCCCUCCGUUCUUUUAUAAGUGAUGUUUUAAGAGAAUGCACAUAGAUUAAGAAAUCAUGUAAUUUUUGUUUAUUUCUAAACUAAAACAUCAUUUAUUAUCUAAUCAACCAAUAAAAAAACAAUCUACAGAAUAUAAAUCGUCAAAACCAAUAAAAACAAUUAAUUUGACAUUAAAAAUUGAAAACAUCAUCUAUUUAAGAACAAAAUUAGAAACUUAAAACAUCACUUAAAAAAUAACGGAGGGAGUAAGUUAUAUGAGUCAAUUCACUCAUUGACAAUUAAUUUUUGGUUAUAAGCUCAUAUUCUAAUAAUUAACACUAAACAAUAUAUAUAGAAAAAGUUAGGAUUCCAUCAAUAUUAAAUAUCAAUUAUGCGGAUUGUAAUUAAAUUAUCAAUUAAUUAAAAUGGUAAAAACACAUUCUUUUGGAUUUAGUUUUGGUAUGAGAGAAAUCAAUGAAUUUUGAUGUCUCUUAUUAAAUAAAUGCAUCCAUUGACGUGUUCGCUUCCUCUCCCUCCAUUUUCAAGUCUAGCAUAUCUAAUAAGCAAAAAGCGGUUGAAGAUCCUCUACUUCUCACCCCACCGUAACACAAUACACUCUCAAUCCAAAUAGUUAUCAUAAACCCACACGUCAACGAAACCACUCUUUUGACUUCAUCCUUAAUCCAAUCACACCACGCCACGUCAUCACCACGACCAAAUGUUUCUGUGAUCGAUCACACACACACAAAGAAGCGUAUCGGUUCUGUUUUGCUCCAACACAAAGCUUUCUCCAAAAAUUGGAUCGAAAAAAAAAACCUAACUUUGACAUGGAAGGAGAGAUUCAAGACUGGGAAAUACUUCAGAGCUCGAGAUCUACAACGGAGGAUGAUAACUCGAGGAACUUGGAGGAGAUUGAAGAUGUCACGCGAGGUAUGAUUAGGUUUGAUCACUUCUCUCUUGAGAACCAGAGUGGUUUGUCUCGUGUGGAGGCAAACGAUGAAGAUGGGUCUGUUCAAUCGGGUAGUCCAGGCUGGAUCGAACCUAGCUCCGAUGUUCCUUAUGGUCCUAAGCAUUUUAGUGAGUUAUGGUCUGAUUCAAGCAGUGAUCGGCUUGAGGAACAGAGGUUAGUGGAUGAUGAUGUGAAUAACGAAGUGGGUAUUGUUGAAUAUAGCGAAAGUAUAGUACAAGACAUGGAUUUGAUGAGCUCUGAUGAGAGAAAGGAUGAAUCUUUACUUCAUCCAGUGGAAGGAGAAGGAGACUCUGUUUCUGUUGAUCCUUGUGUUAAAUCUGGUGGUGGUGGUGGAGGAGGAGAAGAGAAGGGUUUUGUGUGGUGGAAAAUUCCAAUAGAGGUGUUGAAGUAUUGUGUGUUGAAAAUUAAUCCUAUUUGGUCUUUGUCCAUGGCUGCAGCAUUUGUGGGGUUUGUUAUGUUAGGGCGUAGAUUGUACAAUAUGAAGAAGAAGAGUCGUACCUUGCAGCUUAAGGUUCUUUUGGAUGAUAAGGUAAGUAGCUCGGUUUAUUCGAUUGCUAUUGUUCUUUUAAGUAUGUGAUUUAUGAGUUUGUGGUUAUUGUUAGAUCUUUUGGUGUGAGAUGAGAUUGCAUAGUUCAAACUUUUAUUGUUUAGUUAGAUGUUUUAUUAGUGUCAUUGUUGGUUUUGUUGGGGGAAAUUAGAAGAUCAGAAUCUCCUUCUUUGUGCUGUUGGUUGAGUUAAACUUUUUGUCCUGUGACCAGUUUUUGUUGUUGUUGUUGUUGUUGUUGUUGUUGUUGUUGUUGCGAGUUUUCUCUUUGCUAAGUAGUUUAGAUGCAACCAGCGACCCAUGAUCAUAGUAUUCACCAACAGUCAUGCACUCAUACUCCAUUUACACAAUCUUGAAAGUGUUUUUGUAAGCUCUUCGUUGUUAUUAGUUCUUUGAUAUAGCUCUGGUUGAAUUCUAGAUGGAUGCUUUUGGUAUGGAGAAGCAAAACUGUAGUUGCUGAGAGCAUUGUUGUAUGCGUUAGAAAGCCCCCUGAGUGAUCCAUCUCUUUCUGCUUCUUCAAUGUGGUUUUAUCUGCUUUAAUGAUUUGAACAUCAUGUUUAUCUUACAUUUUAGUUAUGCAUGUUCUUUUGUUAUGGGUAAAUGAUAGUUGAAAGGCCUAUAGAAACUAUAGACUAUGUGGUUUCUGACUUUGCCUUUCAGCAGUUAUUUGCUUUUGAUUCAUCUUUGUAACAUUUUCUUGUUUGGUAGUCAGAGAUGGAUACAAGUAGUGGUGAAACCUGAAAUUGUAGUUUAACUGGUCUUUCUAUGGUACAAAGCAUCUAUAAGGACCCGAGUUUGAAUCCUGCUUACGGUUGCAUAUAAAUUGGCGGAUCAUAUAUGUCUUUUGCUGCUGAAAUUCAUGUUCUUGCUUGACUUUUACUCAUCUUUCACUUAUGGAAAUAAAGAACAAAAGUUUGCGAGUAUUUCAGAACACAAUUCGGAAGACAUUUACACAAUCUGAUUCUUUUUUUGUCUUUCUUUUGAAUGAAAUACUUCUUCAGAAGGUGGCUAAUCAUGCUGCUCGGUGGAACGAAGCGAUUUCAGUAGUGAAACGUGUACCCCUAAUCCGGCCAGCACUUCCAUCAUCCGUGGGUAUGAUGAACCAGUGGUCCAUGAUGAGUUUAAGGUGAAAGAUAAGUGAAUUUGAGGGCAUAAUAAUGCAUAUAUGUGAGAUGAAAUGAUUGAUAUGGUUGGUGCAUGUAUCAUAUGAUUGUAUAAAAAUAUAACAAGUCUCAAAAUGUUACAAAAACAUACA
This 13763-nucleotide long non-coding RNA is filed under the name Arabidopsis lyrata. Its description in RNAcentral is "long non-coding RNA (ALYR_LNC000961)". The record is from RNAcentral. Lineage: Eukaryota; Viridiplantae; Streptophyta; Magnoliopsida; Brassicales; Brassicaceae.